CUCUCUUUCUCUCUAUUUUCCUCUCCAGUUCAUCCUCCAUUUCUAUGUCAGCUCGAGCCCGAUAUAGUCUAGUACGGGAAUGUACCAACUCAUACCACCAGCCAGCCGACACGGUGCCCGAUUCCAAGUCGAUGAUCCUUGAUCGAUAGUAUAUUGAUAUGUUCAAUAAUGCUCAUAUGUUCACAACUGGGCUGUUUGUAACUGUUAACACAUGCAUAUUUAUAUCAUUUUGCAUUAUCAUAGGAUAGCAGUGUGUAAGUAAAACCAGGGAAACAAUUUCAACAACCAUGCAAAUAUAUCCACAAUCUCAUGUAAAUUUGUCUAUCAUAAUACAUAUGUUUCUGCACUAAGCAAGUACAAAAU
Molecule: long non-coding RNA, 363 nt
Filed under: Elaeis guineensis (African oil palm)
Lineage: Eukaryota; Viridiplantae; Streptophyta; Magnoliopsida; Arecales; Arecaceae
Description: long non-coding RNA (EGUI_LNC076904)
Source: RNAcentral